RNAcentral lists this ribosomal RNA (253 nucleotides) under uncultured bacterium. RNAcentral's name for it is "partial 16S ribosomal RNA". It matches the Rfam family "Bacterial small subunit ribosomal RNA", at positions 524 to 776 of the family's 1533-position model. The record is from RNAcentral.
UACGUAGGGGGCUAGCGUUGUCCGGAAUCAUUGGGCGUAAAGAGCGUGUAGGCGGCCCGGUAAGUCCGCUGUGAAAGUCAAGGGCUCAACCCUUGGAUGCCGGUGGAUACUGCAGGGCUAGAGUCCGGAAGAGGCGAGUGGAAUUCCUGGUGUAGCGGUGAAAUGCGCAGAUAUCAGGAGGAACACCGAUGGCGAAGGCAGCUCGCUGGGACGGUACUGACGCUGAGGCGCGAAAGCGUGGGGAGCAAACAGG